AAGUGUCAUGAUUGUAUUAAUCAAAGUAUAGGUCAUCGGAGAUCCCCACUAUAUUAUUCUCCAGUGAGGCAGCAAAUCAGGUGAUAAGUUGUACUGCCAGCAGAAGCCUUUGUGAAAAGUGUCUGCAGAUUCUUUUACAAGGGGAGUGUACCUCCCCGCUUCCUACGUGAGCCUUCUUCUUCAGCCUGAGAGAAACAUAUUAAUUUCAGAUUCACUGCAGCUUCAACUCACUUUGCAAUGUGCAUGGAAUAAUGAAGUCGCAGAAUUACUGCAGCUUCAAUCAGUACCUCAGAUAAAGGAAUUAGUUGCCUGACUGCCAACACACACCUCAGAGAAAAUUGCUUGAAUAGGAGCCCACUUCUGUUGCAAAAUGGUGUACACUUUCAGGGUGUUGUCCAUACUUUUCUACAUCAAGAUUAUCAAACAAAUUUGAAACGAAUUUUAAAGCUGCAUGGACUACUUUGAUGUGCCAUAUCCGUGCCGCAUUGGCUCCCCAUAUUGUUUUGUUUACACGAUUCGAAUUCCCGCGGCGAGGGUGGUCGAGGGUCGCAAUGCACCCGAUACCCGGAAUUGUCGUCUAUAUAUCACAUGAACAGCGCGAUCAUAUGAAGCCCCAGGAAUCGGAGCGAAGCCUCUUCGAGUCGCCCUCUCUCCUCCUCUCUUCUUCUUCAAUUUCAUCGCAUAGCUUCGCCUCUCACCUCUCACUGAGGCGCUACUCGUUUCGAUUAUCGUCUCCUCUCUGAGAGAGAGAGAGGUCAUCAAUGGAGGAGAUUCGGAAGAGGAACACCGAUUGCGUCUAUUUCUUAGCUUCCCCUUUCACCUGCAAGAAGGGGAGUCGAUGUGAGUACCGUCACAGCGAAAGUGCCAGACUUAAUCCGAAAGAUUGCUGGUAUUGGUUGAGAGGAAAUUGCCUUAACCCUAACUGUGGCUUUAGACACCCACCUUUUGAAGUUUCCUCAAGACCUCUCUCUGAGCAAUCAUAUGGUGCUCUUUCCUCUGGCAAGGCAAACAUCCCGUGCUAUUUCUACCGUCAUGUGCACUGCAUAAAAGGUGAUCAAUGCCUUUUUCUGCAUGACUUUUUGCCUGCUCCAAAGCUUUCAGGAGUUGCUCCUGAAGCCACUACAGGUCUCUCCAUGGGUAAAAUAGCUUUUGCUUGCAAGGAUAAGGUACCACCAUCAGGAGAGUUGCCCGCUAUAAUUCGACCUAAGGACACAUCUGAGCUUAUCGAGGAAAAUCAGUGCAAAGAGGUGUCUCCACAGCCAGAACCAUGCCCUCUUUUGGAAGAAAAAGCCCUCUCUGUUGACUCAAUACCAGAAUCUAAGGAACAUGCUAUUCCUUUGCCUGAGAGUUGUUCACAUUUCUGGUCAGAUCAGAGUUCUGAGGAACUAGCAGAAGAUUGUUCUGACACGGAAGAUGUUACUAACCUAGACGCUUCUCCAGGAUUUGAUGUGCUUGUGGAUGAUGGAUCAGAACAAUUAGCUGAUGAAGAUGAUGCUGAAAACCAAUUGGCGCAGAAAGGAGAGUCAAAGAUUCCUUAUCGUCAUAAUUUUUCAGAUGAUUUUCAGGAGUUAGCUGGUUAUGAUAAGAGCGACUUCCCAGAUCAUGAGUUCUUAUAUGACUCUUACGAUCGUUUGGGUCUGUAUGAAAGAGAAUUGGAGUUCUGUAGGGAGAAGAUAUCAGAGCGAAUGCUUUGUAGAAAAAGGAAACCUCUGUAUACGGCGUAUGAAAAUGAUGCCCGAGAUGGUGGGGAUCUUCAGGGCAAUUUGAGGAAAAGGAGUAGGCCUGAUUCAGAGAUCCUGCAUUCAUUUUGGCCAGGUUAUGACAGUAGGGCCCAACUUGUUAGGCAUGAAAUGGGUUGGCAUCAUCGUCGUAGGUUAAUUUUAGAAUCACCGAAGAUUGCAACCAUUUCACCUUUGUAUCCUAAGCAACCUCGAAAGAAGAGAAGGAAGAAGGCACAUAGGAGGAGAGGCACGAAUCAUUCUUCCAGAUCUGACAAAGAUAUUAAGCUCACAUCUCCAUUGGUGAAAUCUGCUGUAGUUACUGCCGACUUCUCUGGUCCAAAAACUCUCGCGCAGAUUAAAGAAGAGAAUGGUAGAGGCAAUUCAAAAGGCAGCGGGUCUGCGAUCAACAUACAUCAGUAUUCAAGAAGCCAUUUGUCUAAUGAUUUUGACUGGCCCAAACCAUUGAAUGAACUUCUGAAGGGUAAGAAAAGGCCUCAAUCGAUUGAUGGAAAUAAUGGAAGUGAUGUCUUGUCAGACAUAGGGAAUGAACAGAUUGCUAAUGGAAAUGUCGAGAAAGAUUAUGGGAAAUAUGAGUAUAGUUUUCUAUCCAAGACCCACAAUGGUGAUGAUGCUGAAUAUGAAGAAGUUGACCUCCAGAAAAAGCUUGCUGAAAUAUUCAGUCAAUAGCCAACUUUUUCUAGGAUGACAAUAACCAUCUUUACAAGGAAGAUGCAGUUUAGACAGUGCUAUAUUUAUAGUUUGUGGAAAACGAACUUGUAAUUUGAUGGAUUCCGACCAGUAACCUGCUCAUAGAGGGUGUGUCUCUACUUCUAUGGUCAACUGCUGUAGACAAAGUGAACUGAAUAAGAUGGACUGAGAGAUAAGCUUAGGAGGGAAUCGGAUUCAUGGGAGAAUAAAACAAGAAUGCUACCACGUCAAAUGAUGAAGAGGAAAGGAGAGCCCCAUAAUUAAAGCUUAAUAUGACACAAAAGGAUACGAGCCCUGAAGAAGGAAACUAGGACGCAGUUCCUUUUCCAAUUGGCAGGAUGAGAUACCUAUUACUCAAAAACAAAAGGAGAGGAAAGCAACUUCACAUUGCAGGGGGAACGAAUAUUUAUUGCUUUGGCGAAUUGCGGUAGCUGGGACCGCUCAGCUAACUGAUUUGCCCAACUGUUCUGUUCGACUUUAUUACUCAGAUCUAACAUUUUCCUGGAAUUCUAAUUUAAGUGAACUGGUAUUUAUUUCGACUGACGUCUUGUUUUGCGUCUUACUCCUGUUUCUCUUGUUUCUCUUGUUUGUUUUUUGAUAUUGAUGCUAAAGCAUAAAGAACAUACCAUCAAUGCUUCGACUCCUCUCCUGUGCAGAAAUAUUAAAUUAUUCGGGGGAAAUGCUGCUGUUUAAGUUAACCAUACCAUUUGAUCAUUAGUUGAAAAAUCAAAAGUUUAAGUAUAUAUGUUGGUGCCAUGUGCAACAACUGGUCAAGACUCGAAGAGCCUUAAAACGUAUGAUACAAUGUAAUGCACAAUUUUUGUAAGAGCUUUACCAUAUAGCUAGCUAGACACGGGUAAGCUAGGAAAAGAUGCAGAAAAGGAAGUAUGAAAGGGAUGGGCAGCCCUUUAAACACAAGAGAAUUGGUAUGGUAUGCUAUGCCGAUGCUUUCACUUCUUCUCUAAUCCUUGUUUAAUUGAUAUGCAUCUUCCCUCCCACAAGCAGCUGCUGCUGCUGCUGCUGCU
Ananas comosus (pineapple) is the source of this 3454-nucleotide RNA transcript. It is a transcript of the gene named zinc finger CCCH domain-containing protein 34-like, with no coding region annotated. NCBI's taxonomy places the organism in Eukaryota, Viridiplantae, Streptophyta, Magnoliopsida, Poales, Bromeliaceae. The record is from RefSeq and is a predicted model, not a curated record. The transcript is spliced from 5 exons.